Molecule: long non-coding RNA, 2120 nt
Organism: Engraulis encrasicolus (European anchovy)
Lineage: Eukaryota; Metazoa; Chordata; Actinopteri; Clupeiformes; Engraulidae
Exons: 6
Source: RefSeq, a predicted model, not a curated record
GAAUAUUUAAAUUAUCUCCUCCCACUGGUUAGCAUAACAAAUGAGGCGGAAGUUUGUUUAGUCCAUAAUAGUCAAACACAGAGAUCUCAGAUCUCAAUUGUUGAUAGACUAUCGUUGCUACGGUGACUGCCAACGACCACCUUUGAAACAUAACUGAAACGCAACUCACGGCUGCUGCUGACAAGGGCAUUCACCUCUUUAUUCGUAAACCCAUUUUAUUUUUUGGUGGAUGAAAACAUUGUGUCAAUAUGCUAUGUCUAUGUUCGCCUUAUUCACCCGGAACGUUCUAAAGACGUUGGGGGUACACUUCAGGGGUACAUUCGGCAACGCACCAGCUGUCAUGCCGCCUCACUGUUGUGUGCCCAAAUGUUCGUCCUCAAAGAGAAAAAAAUCCUACCGUGGACAGACUUUCCACCGUUUCCCCAAAGAGCAGGCACUUCGCCGUGAAUGUAUAAAUCACAUCAAGAGGGAUCCUGGUCCAUAUUUCAAGAUCAACGCUGAGACCAAGGUUUGCUCUGAGCACUUUGAGAAGCAGUGUUUUGUAAAGACCGCCCGUGGUAUCACAAAGCUUAUAAAGGAUGCCGUGCCACUUUGUUCGCCUGAACUUCAGAGAGGCCAAAGAGGAGAAUCAUCAUUCGCAGACCGAGAGAUGAUGACCCAUUCCUGAAGUUGGACGCCAGAAUGGAGGAAGGUGCUGUUUAAGAGCCUAGGCGGUGGAAGAAGCACUUGCAGGUAUGCUACUAACCAGGCUCCUCAACAUCAAUCCGAGACGGAAGAUGAACCGGGAUGAAGCAGUUAGAUUGAGACAAGGCGGCCGGAAACUUUGAUGACCUCAAUGACACUGGCUAGGUGAAGGACAUCAAGAAAAUGGCAUCCGGUCACCAGACAUCAGCUCAUAAGCCACAACGUCAUCAACCAUUUUGCGCCAAAAAUGAAGCCGUUCACAUACCAUGGCAUCCUAAGCAGGCAGCACCACACUACUGUGCAACAGUGAGAGAGAGCGGGCAAGGACAAGUAAAACGGACCUACACUACAGCAAGACUUUGACACUUCUCCGCGUGAGAGGCAGCCAUCGCCCCCACCGUUAAGCAGUGUGUACCCAGUACCCCCAAAAGAGGAGAUGAUCCGACGCCAUCACAGCCGAUUUCCAAAAUUGUACACCAAACUCUGUAUGGGCGUGUGUGUGUGUGUGUGUGUGUGUGUGAGAGAUAUUGUAAAACUUUUCAGUCCUUCUUCUAUACUAUACAGUGUAUAAAUAUACAUGUGAAAACCUAAAUAUGCAUUAAAAACCAUUACUGAGGUUAAGAAAUGCAUUAUAACAAAUACAUCUGAUUCAGGUGUACUGUACAUUGAAAUGUCUUUAUUUGCCACAAAUACAUCACAUCCUGGAAACCUGUACAAUGUGUGGAUUCAAAGGUCUGACAGAUCUUUGUGACGGCACAGGAUUGCAGUGGAACCCAAACAUAGCUUAGGAACUCCCCCACAUAGCGUAGGAACUCCCACGCCAUCUCACCAACUGCCGAUAUGCAGUAUGCCUGAAUUUCCUGUACAGCAAAGAAAUGUAGAGAUUGUGCCUUCAUCGAGAAUAGGUCAUUUGGAAUCACAACAAUUAUUCAAUGUACUUUGUGCGUGUGGUGUAGCUAUUGCUGUUAUUAUUAUGUUACUACUAGUGACCCAUUUUUAGUUGAGCUUAAUAGUCUACAUGCCAUCUCUGCACUUGUGUUACCACUAUUGGGAUUGGCAACUCCCUAAAUGAAAAUGAGAAAAACUUGCCCGGAUGAAAUGUUAUGAACUGUGUGCGUUGUGCUGCUUGCUGAAGUAACAUGACACCCACAUCACCUUCCAGAAAUAAAGUGUAUACAGGCUACCUAACCAGAGUCCUGGAGACCUGUUGCUGCUGUGUGAUGAAAUCCAGGCAAAGACCCACCUGCUUUGGCUGCAACAUGUAAAAAAGGUAGACAGAUUAGGCCCCUGUAGAUAUGGCAUGUGUAGAUGGAUUCACUUAAUUCUUUAACCACUUGAAUGGCUUGGGUCAGACAAGCUGGGCUGCACACUGACCUCUUCCAUGUUGCCCAUGUGGUUUCGUUGGCUGUGUGUGACCACCUCCGUACAGGGGCAGA